CCGGCGCCACGCUUACCUCGCAGUCCUCGUACUUGAUAUUAUCCGUCAAUUUCCAAAGCAUUUUCAUGGGUCGGCGUGAACGGAUUUGUCCCUCUCCGCCUCGCACCCAAGUGGAGCUACUCUCUGGCUCGGCACCAACUGCCUAAUCGCCUCAUUAGCAUAUCAACAAUAGUCCAAUUGCUCGCCAGAACCACAUUCCGCCGCCGGCCGCUCGGACUCAGGUAUAAAGGCCUCUCCAAGCCGGGACCUGGCUCCCAGAGCGCACUCCUGCCUGUUAGGGUACAAAAUCUUCCCAGAACUCCAUUCGCUCCCUGGUCCCAGUGGCCCCCACUCCGGCCCAAUUUCACUCCAGUCGGCUUCCUCUCUCUCUGCUUCCUACAGGCUAGCGAUGCCCCCACGAACGCUGGAGUAUACGGAGAGUCCGAGUAGCUGCGCCUGGGGACCCACUACCCUUGGUCACGGCCGCCGCCACUAUUCAAGUUGCCCUUUCGGCCCCGUCCAAUUUUAUUAGAUAUCACUACCCCUUUCUCAAUUAAACAUAACCACCAAACUAAAACCAGAGAAGCCACUCCAGGAUUUUUGCCCAACAAGAGAUCGCCUCCACUCAUGCCAGCUACCCCUUCGGGGCCGCGGCGUCUUGGGAGUUUUAUUGGCUUUUGCGCAUUCCCCCAGGUUGGAGAUUUUGUCAAAGGGCUCCAGGUUUGCUCGGCUGGGGUUUGCAAUCUCUUAAUUGCUAUGUGUAUAAUAAAAGUUGUACCCUGAAGAGGUUACUCGA
Molecule: long non-coding RNA, 775 nt
Organism: Perognathus longimembris pacificus (Pacific pocket mouse)
Lineage: Eukaryota; Metazoa; Chordata; Mammalia; Rodentia; Heteromyidae
Exons: 2
Source: RefSeq, a predicted model, not a curated record